AGCCAAAUUCAAUAGCAACAAAGGGCUGUCGACCUGUGCGUAUUCUCCUUAUAUCGGAGCGUCUCGCCGAGGUAAAUCUUGCCCAGCCGUGUUGUUCAGCGACCCUUGCCGCUGUCCCCAAAAUUUCUACCAUCUUUCCUACCUCCUGAGUUCAUUCAACCACCAUCAAUCCAAAAUGGAGGCUUCAAGAGGACCUCCGCGGGUCAAAAACAAGGCGCCGGCUCCACAGCAGAUAUCUGCUGAGCAGCUCCUCCGUGAAGCUGUUGACCGUCAAGAACCCGCGCUCCAAGCCCCUACACAGCGGUUCGCCGAUCUUGAAGAGCUCCAUGAAUACCAAGGCCGGAAACGCAAAGAAUUUGAGGACUACGUGCGGCGGAACCGCAUUAGCAUGAACAACUGGAUGCGAUAUGCACAAUGGGAAUUGGAACAGAAGGAAUUCCGCCGUGCGAGGUCGGUGUUCGAGAGGGCAUUGGACGUUGACCCUACAUCUGUGGUAUUAUGGAUUCGCUAUAUUGAAGCAGAGAUAAAGACAAGGAAUAUCAAUCAUGCGCGGAACCUGCUUGACCGCGCUGUGACGAUUCUUCCCCGUGUGGAUAAACUGUGGUAUAAAUAUGUUUAUAUGGAAGAAAUGUUGGGUAACAUCGCAGGAACACGUUGGGAGCCGGAUGAAGGCGCAUGGGGUGCUUACAUUAAGCUUGAGAAGCGAUAUAACGAAUUCGAUCGGGUGCGGGCUAUUUUUGAGCGCUUUACUGUUGUCCACCCGGAGCCGAAAAAUUGGAUUAAAUGGGCACGGUUUGAGGAAGAGUAUGGGACAAGUGACUUGGUGAGGGAGGUCUAUGGACUUGCUAUCGAGACUCUUGGUGAAGAUUUCAUGGAUGAAAAGCUCUUUAUUGCGUAUGCUCGAUAUGAAGCCAAGCUAAAGGAAUUUGAACGAGCCAGGGCAAUAUAUAAAUAUGCGCUUGACAGAUUACCGCGUUCGAAAUCUAUUGCUCUACACAAAGCCUACACUACCUUCGAGAAACAGUUCGGUGACCGGGAGGGUGUUGAGGAUGUCAUCCUUUCAAAACGGAGGGUCCAAUACGAAGAACAGGUCAAGGAGAACCCGAAAAACUAUGAUAUCUGGUUUGACUUUGUCAGGUUGGAGGAGUCUUCUGGAGAUGUGGACCGCGUGCGGGAUGUCUAUGAGCGGGCAAUUGCACAGAUUCCUCCUUCGCAAGAGAAGCGACACUGGCGUCGAUAUAUCUACCUAUGGAUAUUUUACGCUCUCUGGGAAGAACUUGAAACCAAGGACAUGGAUCGCGCUCGCCAAAUUUACCAAGAAUGCAUAAAAUUGAUCCCUCACAAGAAAUUCACGUUUGCUAAGAUCUGGUUGAUGAAGGCUCAGUUUGAAAUUCGACAAAUGGAUCUUCAGACGGCCAGAAAGACCCUUGGUCAUGCGAUUGGUGCAUGUCCAAAAGACAAGCUAUUCAAGGGCUAUAUCGACAUCGAGCGACAACUUUUCGAGUUUGUUCGAUGUAGGAAAUUAUUUGAGAAGCAAAUCAAAUGGAACCCUGCAAACUGCCAAGCGUGGAUCAAAUUUGCAGAACUGGAGCGGGGAUUAGAUGAUAUUGACCGAGCACGUGCUAUAUACGAGUUGGGCAUUUCCCAGCCUGUCCUAGACAUGCCUGAGCUUCUAUGGAAGUCAUAUAUCGAUUUUGAAGAGUACGAGGGUGAGUAUAAUAGAACUAGGAUGUUGUACGAACGCUUGCUCGAGAAAACGGAUCACGUCAAAGUCUGGAUCAAUUACGCACGAUUCGAAAUUAACAUACCUGAAGGGGAUGAGGAAGAGGAGGAGGAGGAAGAGAGACCUGUUAGCGAAGAGGCUAAGCGCCGUGCUCGAAAGGUCUUUGAGCGCGCGCAUAAUGUGUUUAAAGAGAAGGAGAUGAAAGAAGAGCGAGUCGCUCUCCUCAAUGCGUGGAAAUCCUUCGAGCAGACACACGGGUCGCCGGAUGACAUCGCCAGGAUCGAAAAGCAAAUGCCCAGCAAGGUCAAGAAGCGGCGCAAGCUGGAUGAUGAUCGCUAUGAAGAAUACAUGGAUUACAUGUUCCCUGCGGACGACGAGUCGUCAGCCAAAUUGUCACAAAUUCUUCAGAGAGCACACCAAUGGAAGAAGGAGCAGGCGAGCAAUAUGGGGAAGGGAGAGGCAUGAAUGUAUGUCGGUCGUUAGGAUGGAUUAAUGAGAGUGUCUCAGAUGGAGGGACAUGACUGUUUCUAUUGUUCAAAUUGCUUAGCGGUCAGUAACAUCAGAGUACAGCACGGCGUUUGAAGCCAGUGAUUUAGCUAUAUUGGUGUUUUAAGAAGGGCAUUAUAUCAUUUUGCUACUAGAAUAAUAUUCCAGGCACUUGAAGAACCAAUAUUACUCACAUCAGCUAAUUGUCAUCUAUCAAAAUUCGUCAUUCAAAACAA
Molecule: small RNA, 2445 nt
Filed under: Histoplasma capsulatum
Lineage: Eukaryota; Fungi; Ascomycota; Eurotiomycetes; Onygenales; Ajellomycetaceae
Also listed under: 1 other name
Description: hypothetical RNA
Source: RNAcentral